GCGGAAGUGGCUCAGUGGUAGAGCGUCUCCUUGCCAAGGAGAAGGUCGCGGGUUCAAAUCCCGUCUUCCGCU
This 72-nucleotide transfer RNA is filed under the name Chloroflexota bacterium. RNAcentral's name for it is "Chloroflexi bacterium (groundwater metagenome) tRNA-Gly". It matches the Rfam family "tRNA". Rfam says of the family: Transfer RNA (tRNA) molecules are approximately 80 nucleotides in length. Lineage: Bacteria; Bacillati; Chloroflexota. The record is from RNAcentral.